ACGGGAGGCAGCAGUGGGGGAUAUUGCACAAUGGGCGCAAGCCUGAUGCAGCAAUGCCGCGUGAGGGAAGAAGGUCUUCGGAUUGUAAACCUCUGUCCUUGGUGACGAAACAAAUGACGGUAGCCAAGGAGGAAGCCACGGCUAACUACGUGCCAGCAGCCGCGGUAAUACGUAGGUGGCGAGCGUUAUCCGGAAUUACUGGGUUUAAAGGGAGCGCAGGCGGAAAAGCAAGUCAGCGGUGAAAUGUAUGGGCUUAACCCGUAAAUUGCCGUUGAAACUGUUUUCCUUGAGUGAAGUAGAGGCAGGCGGAAUUCCGAGUGUAGCGGUGAAAUGCGUAGAUAUUCGGAGGAACACCAGUGGCGAAGGCGGCCUGCUGGGCUUUUACUGACGCUGAGGCUCGAAAGUGUGGGGAGCAAACAGGAUUAGAUACCCUGGUA
This 437-nucleotide ribosomal RNA is filed under the name uncultured Clostridium sp. RNAcentral's name for it is "partial 16S ribosomal RNA". It matches the Rfam family "Bacterial small subunit ribosomal RNA", at positions 341 to 792 of the family's 1533-position model. The record is from RNAcentral. RNAcentral also lists the same sequence under 2 other names. Lineage: Bacteria; Bacillati; Bacillota; Clostridia; Eubacteriales; Clostridiaceae.